AGUGGAAUAACUGGGUCAAAUGGUCCAUUUCAAGUUUUCUAAGGAAUCUCCAUACUGUUUUCCAUAGUGGAUACACCAGUUUGCACUCCCACCAGCAAU
RNAcentral lists this microRNA precursor (99 nucleotides) under Marmota monax (woodchuck). Lineage: Eukaryota; Metazoa; Chordata; Mammalia; Rodentia; Sciuridae. The record is from RNAcentral.